This 497-nucleotide ribosomal RNA is filed under the name uncultured bacterium. RNAcentral describes it as "partial 16S ribosomal RNA". It matches the Rfam family "Bacterial small subunit ribosomal RNA", at positions 28 to 507 of the family's 1533-position model. The record is from RNAcentral.
GAUGAACGCUGGCGGCGUGCCUAAUACAUGCAAGUCGAGCGAACAGACGAGGAGCUUGCUCCUCUGACGUUAGCGGCGGACGGGUGAGCAACACGUGGAUAACCUACCUAUAAGACUGGGAUAACUUCGGGAAACCGGAGCUAAUACCGGAUAAUAUAUUGAACCGCAUGGUUCAAUAGUGAAAGACGGUUUUGCUGUCACUUAUAGAUGGAUCCGCGCCGCAUUAGCUAGUUGGUAAGGUAACGGCUUACCAAGGCGACGAUGCGUAGCCGACCUGAGAGGGUGAUCGGCCACACUGGAACUGAGACACGGUCCAGACUCCUACGGGAGGCAGCAGUAGGGAAUCUUCCGCAAUGGGCGAAAGCCUGACGGAGCAACGCCGCGUGAGUGAUGAAGGUCUUCGGAUCGUAAAACUCUGUUAUUAGGGAAGAACAAAUGUGUAAGUAACUAUGCACGUCCUGACGGUACCUAAUCAGAAAGCCACGGCUAACUACGUG